This 263-nucleotide ribosomal RNA is filed under the name uncultured Oscillospiraceae bacterium. Its description in RNAcentral is "partial 16S ribosomal RNA". It matches the Rfam family "Bacterial small subunit ribosomal RNA", at positions 77 to 339 of the family's 1533-position model. Lineage: Bacteria; Bacillati; Bacillota; Clostridia; Eubacteriales; Oscillospiraceae. The record is from RNAcentral.
UGAAACCAGAUAUGACUUAGUGGCGGACGGGUGAGUAACACGUGAGCAACCUGCCUUUCAGAGGGGGAUAACGGCUGGAAACGGUCGCUAAUACCGCAUGAUACAUUUGGGUGGCAUCAUCUGAAUGUCAAAGAUUUAUCGCUGAAAGAUGGGCUCGCGUCUGAUUAGCUGGUUGGCGGGGUAACGGCCCACCAAGGCGACGAUCAGUAGCCGGACUGAGAGGUUGAACGGCCACAUUGGGACUGAGAUACGGCCCAGACUCC